CAGUCGCCGCGGUAAUACGAAGGGUGCAAGCGUUACUCGGAAUUACUGGGCGUAAAGCGUGCGUAGGUGGUGGUUUAAGUCCGUUGUGGAAGCCCUGGGCUCAACCUGGGAAUUGCAGUGGAUACUGGGUCACUAGAGUGUGGUAGAGGAUAGUGGAAUUUCCGGUGUAGCAGUGAAAUGCGUAGAGAUCGGAAGGAACAUCUGUGGCGAAGGCGACUAUCUGGGCCAACACUGACACUGAGGCACGAAAGCGUGGGGAGCAAACAGGAUUAGAUACCCCGGUAGUCCCUGUCUCUUAUAC
RNAcentral lists this ribosomal RNA (301 nucleotides) under uncultured bacterium. Its description in RNAcentral is "partial 16S ribosomal RNA". It matches the Rfam family "Bacterial small subunit ribosomal RNA", at positions 509 to 807 of the family's 1533-position model. The record is from RNAcentral.